Molecule: ribosomal RNA, 301 nt
Filed under: uncultured bacterium
Lineage: Bacteria
Description: partial 16S ribosomal RNA
Rfam family: Bacterial small subunit ribosomal RNA
Source: RNAcentral
CAGCAGCCGCGGUAAGACGGAGGGUGCUAGCGUUGUUCGGAAUCACUGGGCGUAAAGGGCGCGUAGGCGGCCCGUUAAGUCGGAUGUGAAAGCCCGGGGCUCAACCCCGGAACUGCAUCCGAGACUGGCAGGCUUGAGACCGGGAGAGGAGGGUGGAAUAUCCAGUGUAGAGGUGAAAUUCGUAGAUAUUGAAUAGAACACCGGUGGCGAAAGCGGCUCUCUGGCCCGGAUCUGACGCUGAGGCGCGAAAGCGUGGGGAGCAAACAGGAUUAGAUACCCCAGUAGUCCCUGUCUCUUAUAC